GGGCAGGCAGGCGGGCUGGCGGACGAGAGAGAGAGAGAGGGAGAGGGCCUGGCUGGUUGGCUGUGGUUCAGUGUGUGUGUGAACGGUUCUGGGUACGGGCAGGCUGGCAUACAGGGCUGGCUCAUCUCCCCCAUGGUGCCAGCGGUGGUGAACGGGGCAGGCUAGACUAUACCGAGCUGCUGCUGCCCACCUCCCUCCAUCCUAAACUUUGGGUAUAUAUCAACCCCCCACACCCCCCAUUGUCUAUUAAACCUCCCGGUGAGUGUGCACGGUGGUUGUACUCCCUUGAGAACUUUUAUCAUCUCAGGUGAUGGUGAACACACACACGGGUGGCCAGGCAAGGUAUUUCCCGCCACAGUCAUGAUAAUGUAUUGUUAGAGAAAAUAAAUCCUCGUUACAAUUGAUACUAAGAAUACGACGCUCUUGAUAAUACAAAUACGAGAAAACGUUGAAAAUCAUAAGAAAAAAUACCUUGAAAUGAGCCAUCUUAGUUGGACAAUAAUGCAGAAAACUCUUAACGUUGUCAGAAAGCUUUAAAAAGAAAAGAAAAGAAAAAGAUGCAUGCUGAGUGUUUGCCAAAGGUAGUGGAGGAGCGAGGUAGGUCGGUGGUGGUGGUAGCGACGGUGGUGUAGUAGUGGUGGAGGUAAUAGUGACAACGGCAGUAGUAGUAGUGAUAGUGGUGGUGGUGACGGGUGUAGUGCAAUGGUGUUGGCGAUAAAGUGCUUUACAGUCAUACAACUAGACUUCUCCCUCUACCCACCCACCCACCCAUCCACCCAUCCACAAUGACGUAAACUCCUGUUUAUGAUCGUGUGUGUGUAAGAACAUGGCCACAAUGACCGGUUAGUGUGGCCAGGAGGAACAGUCGGGAGGGCCAUCUUCCCUUGGCCACUCUCCCUCCACCUUUCAAGAAAAUGAUGACUACAGUACCCAGAAAUACCCCAUCAAUAGCGAUUAAUACCUGUCAGUAAUAUCAAUAUAUAUUAUAAACCCGCCAAUACCUACCUACCUACCUAUCUACCUAUCUACCUACCUCCAGUGGCACUCGUGAGAGGUAGAGGUGUUGUGGUUGUUGUUGUUGUGUUGUUGUUGUUCUAGUGAUCCACAAGUGAAGGGAAUUGUUGUGAGUUGUGAUCUUUACCCAGAGAAUGUGAAGUGUCGGAACCAGUCAAAAUAUAAAUAGAAAAUAGAAUAAUUUCUCUAAGUUUGUGUCAUAUCAUGUUGUGAAAUAUAUUGUAUAAAACAAUAUAUAUAUAUAAAAUAAAUAAUUGAAAUCCAGGGAAAAAUACACACUAAAUAUUGAUGAAAUUUACGUUUUGAAAAGGAAGUGAUUCUAGUUUGACCGAAUCGUUUUUUUUUGUGUGUGCUUGCUAGUUGUCUUCUAUGAGCUAGCUAGUUGGGUGGCAGGCUAGUAGAAGCAGCUAGUAGGAGGGUGGACCAGACCAGAGCCGGGUUCGUGACCCACUUCAUCACCACUCAGCACCGCCGCCCUCACUUACCAUGGACGGCCAUCGAGGGAUACUCCUCUUCCUCUUCCUCAUAUUAGGUAUGACCCCACCAGGAGACAAUACCUGUUAACAGUAUUACCACUACGGAGGAUGUGUCAUCAAAGAAGAGGUAAGAUGCAGUGACGUAGAUUAAUAAUGCAGUGCCCCAGACAUCACAGGUAAGAGUCAGCCAAUCACCUGGAACCAAUA
Molecule: long non-coding RNA, 1697 nt
Filed under: Homarus americanus (American lobster)
Lineage: Eukaryota; Metazoa; Arthropoda; Malacostraca; Decapoda; Nephropidae
Description: uncharacterized LOC121855107, transcript variant X2
Source: RNAcentral